This 253-nucleotide ribosomal RNA is filed under the name uncultured bacterium. RNAcentral's name for it is "partial 16S ribosomal RNA". It matches the Rfam family "Bacterial small subunit ribosomal RNA", at positions 524 to 776 of the family's 1533-position model. The record is from RNAcentral.
UACAGGGGGUGCAAGCGUUAUCCGGAUUCACUGGGUUUAAAGGGUGCGUAGGUGGGCUGGUAAGUCAGUGGUGAAAUCUCCAGGCUUAACUUGGAAACUGCCAUUGAUACUAUCAGUCUUGAAUACCGUGGAGGUCAGCGGAAUAUGUCAUGUAGCGGUGAAAUGCUUAGAUAUGACAUAGAACACCAAUUGCGAAGGCAGCUGGCUACACGAAUAUUGACGCUGAUGCACGAAAGCGUGGGGAUCAAACAGG